This 496-nucleotide ribosomal RNA is filed under the name uncultured Enterobacter sp. RNAcentral's name for it is "bacterial SSU rRNA". It matches the Rfam family "Bacterial small subunit ribosomal RNA", at positions 953 to 1449 of the family's 1533-position model. The record is from RNAcentral. Lineage: Bacteria; Pseudomonadati; Pseudomonadota; Gammaproteobacteria; Enterobacterales; Enterobacteriaceae.
GAUGCAACGCGAAGAACCUUACCUACUCUUGACAUCCAGAGAACUUAGCAGAGAUGCUUUGGUGCCUUCGGGAACUCUGAGACAGGUGCUGCAUGGCUGUCGUCAGCUCGUGUUGUGAAAUGUUGGGUUAAGUCCCGCAACGAGCGCAACCCUUAUCCUUUGUUGCCAGCGGUUAGGCCGGGAACUCAAAGGAGACUGCCAGUGAUAAACUGGAGGAAGGUGGGGAUGACGUCAAGUCAUCAUGGCCCUUACGAGUAGGGCUACACACGUGCUACAAUGGCGCAUACAAAGAGAAGCGACCUCGCGAGAGCAAGCGGACCUCAUAAAGUGCGUCGUAGUCCGGAUUGGAGUCUGCAACUCGACUCCAUGAAGUCGGAAUCGCUAGUAAUCGUGGAUCAGAAUGCCACGGUGAAUACGUUCCCGGGCCUUGUACACACCGCCCGUCACACCAUGGGAGUGGGUUGCAAAAGAAGUAGGUAGCUUAACCUUCGGGAGG